RNAcentral lists this ribosomal RNA (492 nucleotides) under uncultured bacterium. RNAcentral's name for it is "partial 16S ribosomal RNA". It matches the Rfam family "Bacterial small subunit ribosomal RNA", at positions 28 to 507 of the family's 1533-position model. The record is from RNAcentral.
GAUGAACGCUAGCUACAGGCUUAACACAUGCAAGUCGAGGGGAAACGACAUCGCAAGCUUGCUUUUGAUGGGCGUCGACCGGCGCACGGGUGAGUAACGCGUAUCCAACCUGCUCAUCACUUGGGAAUAACCUUGCGAAAGUAAGACUAAUACCCAAUGACAUCCCACGAAGACAUCUGAAUGGGAUUAAAGAUUUAUCGGUGAUGGAUGGGGAUGCGUCUGAUUAGCUUGUUGGCGGGGUAACGGCCCACCAAGGCAACGAUCAGUAGGGGUUCUGAGAGGAAGGUCCCCCACAUUGGAACUGAGACACGGUCCAAACUCCUACGGGAGGCAGCAGUGAGGAAUAUUGGUCAAUGGGCGAGAGCCUGAACCAGCCAAGUAGCGUGCAGGAUGACGGCCCUAUGGGUUGUAAACUGCUUUUAUAAGGGAAUAAAGUGGGUCUCGUGAGACUUUUUGCAUGUACCUUAUGAAUAAGGACCGGCUAAUUCCGUG